Molecule: long non-coding RNA, 1108 nt
Organism: Camelus dromedarius (Arabian camel)
Lineage: Eukaryota; Metazoa; Chordata; Mammalia; Artiodactyla; Camelidae
Exons: 6
Source: RefSeq, a predicted model, not a curated record
UCUUGUCUGCACAGUUGUCCUGGACUUCAAGCUGAACACCUGGAUGCCGUUGUGAGCGGUACCUGGGGAGGAGCCCCGUCGUGCACUUCUCAGGGCCCUCCAUCCGAGCGAGCAGUUCCAGGUUAUCAGCAAAUUCACAUCCGAGGAGUCGAAGAAAUUAAACCACCAACAAACUUCACUGUCUGUUGUAAAUAUGCAAAGCAGCUGAGGUCAAAGCUAUAAAGCUUGUCUGACAGCACUCCUAAAAUGUUCCUGUCAACCUCCCGGUCCCUUGAGUUCCUGGCAAAAAGCAAGUGGCAAUACCAGUUUGGGCAGCUAGUGUGUCAGGACCACAGGAUGGCGGCGUGGGCGUAGAACGCGUGGGACAUUGUCGGAAAUGCUUACCGAAUCCUGUCCUUCUGGAUGGCUGCCUGUGAGCUACACAGUCUUCAGCCCCAAGGUGGGCACAUGCGUGUGUUCUCCUGGCUACGAGCAAAAUACUCAUGGAAAUGAUGACAGUGGUGACGGUGGCAAUGACGCCAGGGCCCACGAGUGCCGUAAAGGACGGAAACAGGCAGGCACUGUCCCGAGACCCGCACGUGUUACCUUUGAUUCCCACACAGCUUUACAAAGUCCCUGCGUCUGCCAAGACGAACUGGAGCCUUGUAUUCAGCCCUGGUGAGUUUUGGCACUCCAGUGCCCAGAGACUUCCAGUGGAAGGUCCCAGCUCGCCGGGCGACGUGACAACCCACAGGGAACAAGAUUUAUCUCCCUCUUCCUGCUCGGGGGCUGAACAUGAAGCAGGUUCUGCAGUGUUAAAACGUGUUCCACACCUAAGCGACAUCUGGGAGUCUGAGCUUGCAGAACCAAGGUGGAGAGAGUUGAUGUCUUGGAGAAAUGCCUUUCCAUACUUUUAAGUGCAAUAUUAACUCACGUCGGAUAUAACAAGUAACCGUGCAAUGAAAUGAAGUCAGGAACAGCAAAGCCAUUAAGAAAAUGUACCAUUAGGAAGAGAGCUCGUGUUUCCUCUGGAAGAGAUUCACCAGGUAGUUGGGUGCCUGCAUGUCAAUAAAGCAGUCUAUCUGCUGGUCCAAAGCCGAGAGUCUAGACCACCAGCAUCCGGAUCACA